GGUGAGGACUCAGAAGCUUCCAGUCUGAGGAAACAGGAUCAGCUGAGGAAUUGGUGAGGAAUUUGCCUUAGAGUCCCCACGCCUAUAAUCUGACUCUUUUCAAUGAAAUGCCAUCCUCCAAGAGAAAAGGAAUGUGUUCUGUGCUGCUCAGCAGAGAAACUUGGAUGCUAAAACACAGCUCGCCAUGUGAAAUUAGGAUUCAUCUGUCGCCUCUUCAGGAAAAGCAGAGAGGCCUUCUGUUGGAGAUGAGGAAGGAGUGCCUCUUCCCCAGGAAGUUUCUCUGAUACCACACCCGAGGAGGAGUGAGCAAGCAAGAGAGCACGCGGGGAGCAUCAAGCAGUCUGAGAACUGCACUUACCUCCAGGAAAAUGAAAGACAAGAUUAGUUCUGUGAAGAAUAUUGCAGAUAUGGGAUCCUUUGCUCCAUCGUAUAGCUGAGUGCUUGACCUCAAGGAUCUUCUUGUCAUAUGGACACUCCAGACUUCCUUUAAACCUUUUGUUACCAAUAAUC
Peromyscus maniculatus bairdii (prairie deer mouse) is the source of this 510-nucleotide non-coding RNA. Lineage: Eukaryota; Metazoa; Chordata; Mammalia; Rodentia; Cricetidae. The record is from RefSeq and is a predicted model, not a curated record.